CAGCAGCCGCGGUAAUACGUAGGGUGCAAGCGUUAAUCGGAAUUACUGGGCGUAAAGCGUGCGCAGGCGGUUUUGUAAGACAGAGGUGAAAUCCCCGGGCUCAACCUGGGAACUGCCUUUGUGACUGCAAGGCUAGAGUACGGCAGAGGGGGAUGGAAUUCCGCGUGUAGCAGUGAAAUGCGUAGAUAUGCGGAGGAACACCGAUGGCGAAGGCAAUCCCCUGGGCCUGUACUGACGCUCAUGCACGAAAGAGUGGGGAGCAAACAGGAUUAGAUACCCCUGUAGUCCCUGUCUCUUAUAC
RNAcentral lists this ribosomal RNA (301 nucleotides) under uncultured bacterium. RNAcentral's name for it is "partial 16S ribosomal RNA". It matches the Rfam family "Bacterial small subunit ribosomal RNA", at positions 509 to 807 of the family's 1533-position model. The record is from RNAcentral.